CCCAGGUCCGCCGUGCAGUGCCGCCGGCCACACGCCCAUUCUUGUCUACUUACCCAGUUGCCUCGGCGGGCCUCGCGCCCGCCAGAGGAGUGAUUAAAAUCCAUGAAUACUGUUCCGUCUGAGCGUUAGCAAGUAAAAUCAGUUAAAACUUUCAACAACGGAUCUCUUGGUUCCGGCAUCGAUGAAGAACGCAGCGAAAUGCGAUAAGUAAUGUGAAUUGCAGAAUUCCGUGAAUCAUCGAAUCUUUGAACGCACAUUGCGCCCUCUGGUAUUCCGGGGGGCAUGCCUGUUCGAGCGUCAUUUCAACCCCUCAAGCGCGGCUUGUGUGAUGGACGACCGUCCCCGCCCUCCCCGGCUCCCGGGGAGGGGGACGCGCCCGAAAAGCAGUGGCCAGGCCGCGAUUCCGGCUCCUGGGCGAAUGGGCAACAAACCAGCGCCUCUAGGACCGGCCGGCUCUCUGGCCUAGU
RNAcentral lists this unclassified non-coding RNA (467 nucleotides) under Nannizzia incurvata. Its description in RNAcentral is "sequence contains ITS1, 5.8S rRNA gene, ITS2". The stretch from base 147 to 300 matches the Rfam family "5.8S ribosomal RNA". The record is from RNAcentral. Lineage: Eukaryota; Fungi; Ascomycota; Eurotiomycetes; Onygenales; Arthrodermataceae.